RNAcentral lists this ribosomal RNA (1025 nucleotides) under uncultured Corynebacterium sp. RNAcentral describes it as "bacterial SSU rRNA". It matches the Rfam family "Bacterial small subunit ribosomal RNA", at positions 57 to 1091 of the family's 1533-position model. The record is from RNAcentral. Lineage: Bacteria; Bacillati; Actinomycetota; Actinomycetes; Mycobacteriales; Corynebacteriaceae.
GCAAGUCGAACGGAGAGGCCUCUAGCUUGCUAGAGGUACUCGAGUGGCGAACGGGUGAGUAACACGUGGGUGAUCUGCCCUGCACUGUGGGAUAAGCCUGGGAAACUGGGUCUAAUACCAUAUAGGACCGCAUCUUGGAUGGUGUGGUGGAAAGCUUUUGCGGUGUGGGAUGAGCCUGCGGCCUAUCAGCUUGUUGGUGGGGUAAUGGCCUACCAAGGCGGCGACGGGUAUCCGGCCUGAGAGGGUGUACGGACACAUUGGGACUGAGAUACGGCCCAGACUCCUACGGGAGGCAGCAGUGGGGAAUAUUGCACAAUGGGCGCAAGCCUGAUGCAGCGACGCCGCGUGGGGGAUGAAGGCCUUCGGGUUGUAAACUCCUUUCGCUAUCGACGAAGCCACUUGUGGUGACGGUAGGUAGAUAAGAAGCACCGGCUAACUACGUGCCAGCAGCCGCGGUAAUACGUAGGGUGCAAGCGUUGUCCGGAAUUACUGGGCGUAAAGAGCUCGUAGGUGGUUUGUCGCGUCGUCUGUGAAAUCCCGGGGCUUAACUUCGGGCGUGCAGGCGAUACGGGCAUAACUUGAGUGCUGUAGGGGAGACUGGAAUUCCUGGUGUAGCGGUGAAAUGCGCAGAUAUCAGGAGGAACACCGAUGGCGAAGGCAGGUCUCUGGGCAGUUACUGACGCUGAGGAGCGAAAGCAUGGGUAGCGAACAGGAUUAGAUACCCUGGUAGUCCAUGCCGUAAACGGUGGGCGCUAGGUGUAGGGGGCUUCCACGUCUUCUGUGCCGUAGCUAACGCAUUAAGCGCCCCGCCUGGGGAGUACGGCCGCAAGGCUAAAACUCAAAGGAAUUGACGGGGGCCCGCACAAGCGGCGGGCAUGUGGAUUAAUUCGAUGCAACGCGAAGAACCUUUACCUGGGCUUGACAUAUACAGGAUCGGGCUAAGAUAAUCUUUCCCUUGUGGUCUGUAUACAGGUGGUGCAUGGUGUCGUCAGCUUCGUGUCGUGAGAUGUUGGGUUAAUCCCGCA